Molecule: non-coding RNA, 470 nt
Organism: Microcebus murinus (gray mouse lemur)
Lineage: Eukaryota; Metazoa; Chordata; Mammalia; Primates; Cheirogaleidae
Source: RefSeq, a predicted model, not a curated record
CUCUUUUGGAGCCUGGGCCUGAGAUGGAGUAGGUAACCCCGGCGGUAACUGCCUGAACCACUCCUGCUGGCUGCAAAGCCAAGUCCUUCUCAACUUCAGCAUCCCAGGAUGAGAGAGAUCCAAAGAGAGACAGGGCCCCAGAGAUCUUGACACAUUGAGACACUCAGAGUGGCUGGGCCAGAACUCCAGGAGACCCAUAAACUCAGGAACACAGCCAGGGAACCCAGGAACAAAUAGAAAGUCGAAGCAGCAGAGACUGUGAAAGACAUGGAAUGUGGAAUGGAGCACACUGAAGUGUGUGUGUGUGGCUCUGAUGUCCACUGAUGUGCAAAGUCAGCUGCGCUGUCACUUCCUCAGAACAGCCUUGCUUCUACUCCUAAACCAGGUAAGCCUCCCCUACCGUAUGCACUCCUGGCAUCAGGAACACCUCCUUAGUUGGACUUAUUAACACUUGUAAUUUUCUAUUGAUG